CCCUGUGAACCUGCGGAAGGAUCAUUA
RNAcentral lists this ribosomal RNA (27 nucleotides) under Erysiphe syringae. Its description in RNAcentral is "partial 18S ribosomal RNA". Lineage: Eukaryota; Fungi; Ascomycota; Leotiomycetes; Helotiales; Erysiphaceae. The record is from RNAcentral.